AUUGAACGCUGGCGGCAGGCCUAACACAUGCAAGUCGAGCGGAUGAAGGGAGCUUGCUCCUGGAUUCAGCGGCGGACGGGUGAGUAAUGCCUAGGAAUCUGCCUGGUAGUGGGGGAUAACGUCCGGAAACGGGUGCUAAUACCGCAUACGUCCUGAGGGAGAAAGUGGGGGAUCUUCGGACCUCACGCUAUCAGAUGAGCCUAGGUCGGAUUAGCUAGUUGGUGGGGUAAAGGCCUACCAAGGCGACGAUCCGUAACUGGUCUGAGAGGAUGAUCAGUCACACUGGAACUGAGACACGGUCCAGACUCCUACGGGAGGCAGCAGUGGGGAAUAUUGGACAAUGGGCGAAGGCCUGAUCCAGCCAUGCCGUGUGUGUGAAGAAGGUCUUCGGAUUGUAAAGCACUUUAAGUUGGGAGGAAGGGCAGUAAGUUAAUACCUUGCUGUUUUGACGUUACCAACAGAAUAAGCACCGGCUAACUUCGUG
RNAcentral lists this ribosomal RNA (484 nucleotides) under uncultured bacterium. RNAcentral's name for it is "partial 16S ribosomal RNA". It matches the Rfam family "Bacterial small subunit ribosomal RNA", at positions 30 to 507 of the family's 1533-position model. The record is from RNAcentral.